This 253-nucleotide ribosomal RNA is filed under the name uncultured bacterium. Its description in RNAcentral is "partial 16S ribosomal RNA". It matches the Rfam family "Bacterial small subunit ribosomal RNA", at positions 524 to 776 of the family's 1533-position model. The record is from RNAcentral.
UACGAAGGGGACUAGCGUUGUUCGGAAUCACUGGGCGUAAAGCGCACGUAGGCGGAUUUGUAAGUCAGGGGUGAAAUCCCGGGGCUCAACCUCGGAACUGCCUUUGAUACUGCGAGUCUUGAGUCCGAUAGAGGUGGGUGGAAUUCCUAGUGUAGAGGUGAAAUUCGUAGAUAUUAGGAAGAACACCAGUCGCGAAGGCGGCCCACUGGAUCGGUACUGACGCUGAGGUGCGAAAGCGUGGGGAGCAAACAGG